This 330-nucleotide ribosomal RNA is filed under the name uncultured eukaryote. Its description in RNAcentral is "partial 18S ribosomal RNA". It matches the Rfam family "Eukaryotic small subunit ribosomal RNA", at positions 1470 to 1796 of the family's 1831-position model. The record is from RNAcentral.
CCCUUAGAUGUUCUGGGCCGCACGCGCGCCACACUGAUGCAUUCAACGAGUCUAAAACCUGGUCUGAUAGGGCUGGGUAAUCUUUUGAAUGUGCAUCGUGAUUGGGAUAGAUGAUUGCAAUUCUUCAUCUUCAACGAGGAAUGCCUAGUAAACGCAAGUCAUCAGCUUGCAUUGAUUACGUCCCUGCCCUUUGUACACACCGCCCGUCGCUCCUACCGAUUGAAUGUUCCGAUGAAUACCAUGGACUGAGAGUAUGAAUGGGUUCGCCUAUUUCUGCUUCUCGGGAAGUGGAGUAAAUCUUAACAUUUAGAGGAAGGAGAAGUCGUAACA